UACGUAGGGGGCAAGCGUUGUCCGGAUUUAUUGGGCGUAAAGAGCGUGUAGGCGGCCAGGUAGGUCUGCUGUGAAAACUCGAGGCUCAACCUCGAGAUGUCGGCGGAAACCAUCUGGCUAGAGUCCGGAAGAGGAGAAUGGAAUUCCCGGUGUAGCGGUGAAAUGCGCAGAUAUCGGGAAGAACACCCGUGGCGAAGGCAGCUCUCUGGGACGGUACUGACACUGAGACGCGAAAGCGUGGGGAGCGAACAGG
Molecule: ribosomal RNA, 253 nt
Filed under: uncultured bacterium
Lineage: Bacteria
Description: partial 16S ribosomal RNA
Rfam family: Bacterial small subunit ribosomal RNA
Source: RNAcentral